RNAcentral lists this ribosomal RNA (451 nucleotides) under uncultured bacterium. RNAcentral's name for it is "bacterial SSU rRNA". It matches the Rfam family "Bacterial small subunit ribosomal RNA", at positions 330 to 795 of the family's 1533-position model. The record is from RNAcentral.
GCCAGACUCCUACGGGAGGCAGCAGUGGGGAAUAUUGGGCAAUGGGCGCAAGCCUGACCCAGCAACGCCGCGUGAAGGAAGAAGGCUUUCGGGUUGUAAACUUCUUUUCUGGGGGACGAAGAAAGUGACGGUACCCCAGGAAUAAGCCACGGCUAACUACGCGCCAGCAGCCGCGGUAAUACGUAGGUGGCAAGCGUUAUCCGGAUUUAUUGGGUGUAAAGGGCGUGUAGGCGGGAAUGCAAGUCAGAUGUGAAAACUAUGGGCUCAACCCAUAGCCUGCAUUUGAAACUGUAUUUCUUGAGUGCUGGAGAGGCAAUCGGAAUUCCGUGUGUAGCGGUGAAAUGCGUAGAUAUACGGAGGAACACCAGUGGCGAAGGCGGAUUGCCGGACAGUAACUGACGCUGAGGCGCGAAAGCGUGGGGAGCAAACAGGAUUAGAUACCCUAGUAGGC